Equus caballus (horse) is the source of this 6340-nucleotide non-coding RNA. Lineage: Eukaryota; Metazoa; Chordata; Mammalia; Perissodactyla; Equidae. The record is from RefSeq and is a predicted model, not a curated record.
UUAGCUCAGGGCCAAUCUUCCUCACCAAAAUCUUACCUUAAAAAAAAAGAAAAAGCACAUUACAUUAUGCUUUGUGUGAUAGAUUGUGUAAUACUGGACCUCAAAUUUAUUCGUGCCUCCCUGUACCCACGUCCUUUGGUUGUCUCCUCCCAUACUGAUUGCUCUUGGCCAUGUGACUUGCCAAAUGCAACAAUAGAAGUUUGAAAACUUCUCACACUUUGGGAAAAUUGUCCACUCUUAUUCCUGGGAAUACUUCCACCAUUAUGUGAAGAAACCUCGGCUAGAAUAAUGGAGGAUGAAAGACCAAGCAGAGAGAGUUUCCAGAAAUUGUCAUUGAGGCCCCAGACACGUGAGUAAGGUGAUUCUAGACAUCUAGGCUCAGCUUAGCUGGUUCUGAUCAGAAUUACUCAACGAACCCCGAGCACUAUGAGAAAUAAGUGUUCGUUAUAUUUGGCCAGUACACGAUACGUUUUGGGGUGGCUGGUUAUCAGUUAGCAAACACUAACUGAUACAAUAUGUCAUGCUAUGCUUAUUUCUUUCCCUUAAGAAAUUGACAAAGUGUUUUACUGGUAUUAACUUACAGUGCAUUUAAAGACUGAAUAACGGGAAACCUUGAAUCUAGCAUUGACAUUUCAUUCCUGCAUCUUGAGUAGUUUGUUCAGAAUAAUCAGUGACUUAUAAUUAUAAUUGAUGCAUCAGUAAGCAAAUUUUGAUAUUCAUGAAAUGAGGUAAUAUACAUAUCACUAAAUAUGAUAAUGCUAGUAAUUUUCCUACUCGAUUUAUGUUUAAGGAUAUGUCACAAACAGUGGUAUUCAACUUCAUUUGAAAUUCAAAACAUUGAAGUUAAUUUUUAAACAAUUUUAUUGAGUUGAAGCUAGAGAGUUAAAGAACAAUUAAAUUAAUUAAAGUUUGACUAUAUACACAUGUAACGGAUAUAUUUUGCACUAAUGCAAUUUUAGUGUUUAUCUCACUAUGAACCUAGCAAGACUGGAGUUUUAAGUGUUGGUCUAGUUAUUUUGAACCUGUAGGUUUGAAAAUAUAUAAAGCUCAUUUUAACAUAAAAUGUAUAAUUUUAAAAUUAGAUUAAUCUCCCUCAUACUGUACUCUUUCCUCUCACUUCUUUCCUCAUUACAGUUAUUUUUAUAUAUUUUGCAGAUUGAGUAGAUCAUAUAUAUGAGUCAGCAUAUGCGUAUGUGUACACAUGUACAAAAUAAUGGACAUUUAAAUUUCUAAAACAUUUUCAGAUGUAUUGUCAUAAAGUGAUGCAAAUUUCCCUAUCUUUAUUUUAUUUUUAUUUUACAGAUGUAGAGAUGGAGGCCCAGAGAAAUUAACUAGCUGGGCACAUAAUUGUUUAGAACAGUGGGAAUCUAGAUCUUGAAUCCAAGUCUUGUGAUUGUUGAAGCCACUCUGCUCCCAGAUAAAUUAUGCUUGCAUGUUUGUUUCCUCUCCCCUGUUCUCUCUUAUGCCAUAAAAUAAGGGUGUUGAUUUAUAACAUUUUACAUUUUAAUUAAUAUUUAACAUGUGCAUGUAUUUAAAUAUUUCUAUGCAAUACAUCAAACACAUAAAGUACCCAUUUAAAACCAGAUAAUUUAAAUGUCAUUAAAUGAACUAAAUAUUUUGACUCCCAGAUGUAAGGUAGUCUAGUUAAACUAUUAAGAUUCUGCAAGAAUACAGCCAUGUGAAACGUUUGCAUAUGUGUCUGUAUAUACUUAAACAAUAUAUUUUAACAUCCAACUCACAUAAUUUUAUUAAAAUCUUAUUCCCUAGAAAGAUAAAAGAUGCAGAAAAUGACCAAAAAUGUCACAUCUAGUCAUCAUUUCCACUACAUUUUUAAGGAUAGGAAGAGUAAAUUAAAAGUAGAAGUAGAGUGUGUUGGUGGCCUUAGGAAAGAAAUGAUUGCAACGUAAACGAAAAUGAAACUCCUACCUGGGAGAAAAGUAAUUUAGCUUCAUGAACAGCUGCACCUCGGAGGGUCAGGCAUAUGAACAAUUAAAAUUAAACAACUUGAUUUUAAUAUGCCUUAGUAACCGUGAUUGAUCUUACAGAGCUGUUGUUGACUAUGCAUCAAGAAACAAUUUAGGAUCCAGUUUAAAACAAAGUUUAUAAUCCUUGUUUAAUGGAUUUUGGUACCUCAGGCAAUACAGUGCUGUAAAAAUGAUUAAAAUGUGCCCUGUCUCUGUGUAAUCAAUAAAACCGCUCUAAAAUUAGUGAGGUUCCAGAGACCCCUCAGCAGGCUCGGCAUCGCCGCGCCUGUAGAAUUCCGGAUCAGCCAUCUAUCAUUAUUUCCAUACACAAGGUUCGUUAGACACCUCAUUCUUUAUCUUAUUAGCACCAAAGUCAGCUACACAAUCAAAUCCAAAGGUCACCUUUAACAAUAGUUGGUUAAACCAAAACAUACAUCUAGACAUUAUUAAUAUUGUACAUCAAAAUUCAGUGGUAAGAAUGUCUAGAAGGCCAAUGGAGGGUUAUUAUCAAAAAAAAACCCUGAAAGUAUACACAUUUGUAAACUUGAGAAAAAAAUUCUAAAGUGGCAUCUUAAAGAGACAGAUUUAUUUUAUUAUUGAAAUUAGUGGACACGAAAACUACUUGUUAGUUGGAGUUAUUUUUAAGUUGGAAUUCUUUUUUAAGAUCAUGAAUCACAUGUUUUCUGAACUUGUUUUGUUUAAAUCACAUUUUGUCACACAUUUUAUGAUAGAGCUCUUUAUUUUAAAGAAGUUGAUGAUUUCAAGGGCAUUUUACGAUAUAUAUAGCUAAAGAAAUUUGAAGUUUAACUUUCAUAUACGUUAAAAUUUUAUUCACCUAUUAGUGAAUUUUCUACAUUUAAGUGAAACUAAUGAGAAAUGCAUGUAAGUUCUGGAAAUGUGCUAAACUCAUCCCCCAGUGUAUCAUGUGAAUAAAAUAAUAAAUUAAUGCAAUGCCUUUUUAUAUGUCCAUUACUUCUAAUUUACUCAACUCUUUUUAUUUCACUCCAAUUUUAUAUACUCAGAUAAACUAGUGAUCAUUAGUAAUUAAUUCCUACAUCCAUAGUUAAGAUGCAUGUGGGUAGUUUGCCUGCCUACCUCAAUCUGAUGUCCUUUCCUUUUCUUAUUUGAUUGCUAAACAAAUUAAUGAAUACAUAUUUGUGUCUCUCAUGGAUCAAUUUGGGGCCUAUAAGAAAAUAUUUUGAUAAUUAUUAGUCAAAGAUGGAGAAAAAUAUCUCUUGUUGAAUGCUUAUAAUAACUUCACUGAAUGCUUUGUCACUGCUAUGUGUGUGAUGAAUAUGAAAUAUUUAUUGAUGACAUUAUGUGACAGACAUUGUUCCGUGAACUUAAUGGCUCUUGUAAUUCUUCCCCAGUCAGCACUGUGGUUUUACUGCCAUCAUUAUGUUUAUUCCCACUUGGUACUUACAGAUCAAAAUAUUUCCCCCUGCCCUUCCCAAUACCCCAUUCCCACUGCCACUGGCAUGUAUCACUUAAUUAACAAACGUGAAUCAUGAAAAUGUAAAGACAGAGUUUGUGUUUCAUUUUCUUAUCACACUUAGGACAACAUAUUGAAAAAUGUAGGAGGGGAAAUGUGAUUUUCUGAUAUAGAGGAGGAUGAGAGGCCUAAAGUUCUUAAAACUGAUCCAGAGCAUUUUGGAGAAUCAUAGCAGAAAAUGCAUUAUAGACAUCAAUAAGCCUGAUAUUCUUGUUAAUCUAAAUCAGUUAAAAAUAUAAAAAGACAGAUGGUGUAUGUCUGUCAGUUUUGUUGUUGUUUUGUUUUUCUUUUUAGGACUUAAGAUUUACUUUAAAGAACCCACCAUUAUAUGCUAAGAUUAUAAUAUUAUGGCACUGGAUCUAAAAAGUCGAAUUACUGGAAGACUGGAGCAUUUCUAGUUGAGCAUCUUAGUCGUCCAGCAGAAUCACAGCUUUUGUAGCAUGAAGCCAGACAAGUGAAAGUUUAAAUGUUAAAGAGCACCCUUGUGGACUGAGGGAAAAUGAAGGGAGCCGGCCAGCAGCAGGCUGAGAACAACCAUGUCCAUGAUUUCACUGCAAGGAAGACGUAUGAACAUCGCCUUCUUGGGGCAUGGAACUAAAAGGAAAACAGACGAAUUCUCGAAAUUUCAGAGGGCUUUUCCCUUUUAAAUAGCUUGAUCAUGGAUGUACCAUACUCCAACUUAUGAUGAAUUGCUCCUGGACAUGCCCAGCUUUAUGACUUGGGAUAGAAAAGAAUACAUUCUCCAGAUGAAUGGCCACAUACCAAGUACCUGAAACACUGUUAUCUGCUCCAGCAAAGAGAACUCCUCUGGCACAACACUGCAAUUGGGGCCACCUACAAAGAGUUGACAGUGGUCCAUUGUCAUCCUCCAGGAUCUGGCAAUAUGAGACCCCUGCCUGGUGGUGACUCACGCAUUGGGCUGCAGGAAGCUUGUUUCAGAUCACAGUUGAAUUCUCCUCAUCUAUAGUUGAAUUAUACUCAGCAGAGAAUGCUGAACCAAACUGCGGAAAGUCGGUGUAGGCGCUCUUGAUGGUGGAAAUAGAGAGAGAAGAAUUAGAGCUUUGAAAGAAGGCAGUGAUGACUGGCUUGACAAGAAAGGGGAUAUGUGGAAAAGUCACAGUAGAAUGACCAAAUUGGAUCUAAUGUGAGAGAAGCAUGACAUCUGCAAAGACUUUCUGAUACUGGCCUUGGAAGAUUGCAUGGAUUCUGGUGUCUCAAACAGAGAUAUAAGAUAAGAAGUAUAUAUUUUGACUUAAAAGUAUACACUUAGAAGAUUUGAUAUAUGCUGGUGCCUAAAUGAAUGUUUCAUAAAAGGGAAGUUAGUGGUUAUUAGUACUUUUAUCUUAUUACUAGGAAAUGAAAUGCAGAUACAGAAACACACAUGAAACAAAUAUAUAGCCCAAUGAGAUAUUUUAAGGUGGAUACCCUUGUAACUGCCACUCAAAUCAAUAAAUAGAACUUUUCCAGUGCCCCACGGUCCUCUCCAUGAUCCUUAUGCCAGUUCUAAUCUCCUUCCUGCCCUGAAAUGGGAUCACUAUCCUAUCUAGUGACCACAUUCUUGCACUUCUUUCUAAUGUUAUAUUCAAGUGAGAAUCCCUCAAUAACAGAAUUUAGAAACUAAAACUUUGCUGUCUUUUAGGUCUUUCAUAGUCUGUUGAAGAACGCUGGGUGUUUGAUCUGUAGAUUGAGUCAUGAUCUGGCUUUUGGAGUCUGUAAGACCAGUGUCUGCUUGUCUCUUUUCUGUAAUGUUAUCAGUGGUGACCUGUAAUGCAUAGAUCCACUAACUCAUUCCGGGUUGCAGAAGAAGUCAUACUCCAAUUCUAUCAUUUCUAUUUAAUUUAUUAAUUUAAUACUUCUCUAAAGAGACACUGUUUGGUUACCCAACAGAAAAUUCAAACUGGAAAGGUAUGAUGAAUGUUUUAGUCUGCCCUUUUAUGUACCCAUUUUCAAGAUAAUUAAUUGGUUCCCUAUCACCCUUCAGUUUUAACCAAAUAGUUUCUAAAUCUAUUGUGAAUAAGUGACUCUUCCAUCUUCGGCCAGUAAGAGCUGCUUCAAGUUGCUCUUAGAUCACUUUUUGACAGGACCGCCCUGGUCUUCGAAGGCUUCCUUGCUGUCUGAUAUGGAGACAUUUUACUCUCAUUUUGUAUACUUCUUGCUCGAGGCCUGGAAUCAGCCAUUUCUCCAGGAAGUCCGAGUUUCUUUGAGUGAUAAAUGAUAAUUUAAGACUGCAAUCUAGGAAUUAGGAAUGCUCAUAGUAAGCAGAUUGCACUUGUAACAAGUAGUCAGCAAAAUACAGUAGAAAUGAGUAUCCCAAUAGCAUGAGUUCAUAUAGGUAUUUCUAAUUCAAAUGCAGGUCUAUAGGUUUUUUAAAUUUAACUCUUCUGUAUUACACCUAUAUUUCCUUUCUUCCACUGUAAAAAUCUUUAUUCUCAAUAUCACAAGCAGUGAUAGAGAUAGAAUAACUCAUAAUUACUCAUUUGCUUAAUACAUUAGAAUACAAUAAUCUGAGAAUAACAAUACUAAUAAAUAGUACUACCUCUAAUAUAAUUAAUGAGCAUAGUUAAAAGUAUUUUUUCAUAAAAACCCUCCUUAUUUAUUCCACGAUUUAACAAUAUGCGAGCACAUAGUUGUUCAAUACUAUCUUCAUUUUAACCUUUAGUCUUACUUAGACCUUCAAAUAUCUAUAGAUUUAAUGCUGGCCACCAGUUCUUACAGUGACAUUUUAUAGCCAUUUUAGUAGUCUGAAGUUCGUUCUCUAGUAAAUUCCUCAGGAAGAGCUUAUGGGAACAAUAUAUCCUGAGUUGUUACAUGUGAUAAUAGUUUGGACUUUUUUAUGUGUGUGUGAGGAAGAUUCACCCUGAGCUAACAUCAGCUGCCAAUCUUC